This 79-nucleotide transfer RNA is filed under the name Paenibacillus sp. S150. RNAcentral's name for it is "tRNA-Asp". It matches the Rfam family "tRNA". From Rfam's summary of the family: Transfer RNA (tRNA) molecules are approximately 80 nucleotides in length. Their secondary structure includes four short double-helical elements and three loops (D, anti-codon, and T loops). The record is from RNAcentral. Lineage: Bacteria; Bacillati; Bacillota; Bacilli; Caryophanales; Paenibacillaceae.
GGAACCGUGGUGUAGUUGGCCUAACAUGCCUGCCUGUCACGCAGGAGAUCGCGGGUUCGAAUCCCGUCCUGUUCCGCCA